GCAGAGUUCAGUUGGGAUUGAAUUGUAUAACGGUGCGGUUGGCAGCGCUUGCAGCGCCCUUUUUCAUUUCACACUCGCUACGCAAACGCGCGCGUUUCUCACGCGAUUUUCAUACGACGUUCGUUGACUUCUUUAUUUCUGCGUUUGUCUGUUGGCCAAAAAGAACGUGACAAGGGUAGGCGAACUAAAAGGAUCUUAAUUGACUUGCCAACAUUUUGGGUUUUGUAUGUAUAUGAACCAUGCAGUAAAGCACGCACACUCACACGCAUGCACACUCACACACAUGCACAUGCUGCUAAAUUUAUCAAAGUGCAUCAUCCGGCUUUGUCAUUUGUUGCGCCUGUUUUGGUUUUAUAUAUUUUUUUGUGUAGCACAUUGUGGCCAGAUUUCGCGGAACUGCAAGCCCCCGCGUAUAAUAAAA
This is a long non-coding RNA of Drosophila navojoa, 421 nucleotides long. The record is from RefSeq and is a predicted model, not a curated record. Lineage: Eukaryota; Metazoa; Arthropoda; Insecta; Diptera; Drosophilidae.